Molecule: ribosomal RNA, 511 nt
Filed under: uncultured Acidobacteriota bacterium
Lineage: Bacteria; Pseudomonadati; Acidobacteriota
Description: bacterial SSU rRNA
Rfam family: Bacterial small subunit ribosomal RNA
Source: RNAcentral
CAAUGCCGCGUGGAGGAUGAAGGUCUUCGGAUGUAAACUCCUGUUGCCAGGGACGAAUGGCUCCGACCUAAUACGUCGGAGAAUGACGGUACCUGGUGAGGAAGCCCCGGCUAACUCUGUGCCAGCAGCCGCGGUAAUACAGAGGGGGCAAGCGUUGUUCGGAAUUACUGGGCGUAAAGGGCGCGUAGGCGGCCCGCUAAGUCGAACGUGAAAUCCCCAGGCUCAACCUGGGAACUGCGUCCGAUACUGGCAGGCUUGAAUCCGGGAGAGGGAUGUGGAAUUCCAGGUGUAGCGGUGAAAUGCGUAGAUAUCUGGAGGAACACCGGUGGCGAAGGCGGCAUCCUGGACCGGUAUUGACGCUGAGGCGCGAAAGCUAGGGGAGCAAACGGGAUUAGAUACCCCGGUAGUCCUAGCCCUAAACGAUGAAUGCUUGGUGUGGCGGGUAUCGAUCCCUGCCGUGCCGAAGCUAACGCAUUAAGCAUUCCGCCUGGGGAGUACGGUCGCAAGGCUG